Long non-coding RNA from Xenopus tropicalis (tropical clawed frog), 4693 nucleotides. RefSeq lists it as uncharacterized. The record is from RefSeq and is a predicted model, not a curated record. The transcript has 3 exons. NCBI's taxonomy places the organism in Eukaryota, Metazoa, Chordata, Amphibia, Anura, Pipidae.
AGCUUCUUUACAACAGAAAUAAUACAAUGUUCAACAUGUUUUUCUUUCCCUUUCAUAACCAGGAGACUCCAGAGGUCCCCACUCCUGAAUCCUGCCAGGUAAUACUUUUUAAAACUGAUUAUGAAGCCCAGUAUAAAGGCCAAACAUAACAACCCCCUACCCAGCUCAACAGCUCUGCUUUCUCCCCUUAUUUAUGGGCACAAACAUAAAAGUUUGGGUGUUGCAGUACUUUUUAUGAUCAAGGGUUCAGUUCAUCUAACAAUCAUUUUUUUCUUUCUCCUAAAUAGGAGACACCCCAGGAAUCUGGCACUACCAUCUGCCAGCCUGAAGUCCCUGAGGCAGAGCAAGUGGAUGCUCAGAUCACCAAGGUGAGCCACAAAGCCUUUUAUGAAGUUUCAGCAGAAAGAUCUAAUUAAUCAUUUUUAUCAGUUUAUAUUUCAAGGGCCUGUAUCCCCUUUUUAAUCCUUCUGUAUAAUAAGCUACUCAUCUCAAAGUCUAAUUCUUCAGCUUGGGGGGAGACAGGGGAUUGUUUAUACAGAUGAUUUCUCAGGUCAAUAUGUGAGCUUGGCUGCAUUAACUAACAUUGGUGCCACCCAGUAAAUUAACCUUUUCUUGUCCUUCAAGGAAAAUUUUUGCAGUUCCACAAAAUACGUUGAUCUGAUUAAACUUUUUUUUUCUUCCCCAGGAGCAUGAAACAGCCUCACUUGCGGACAGAUUCCCAGUAAGCAGCUGUAAAACUGUAUUUUGGAACAUUAAAAGAUGCAGUAGCACAACUGUUAUGGAUACUUAAAUAUUCCAGCCCUUGUUCUCCCCUCCAUUUCCCAGUUUCCUCCUACACCUCCUGUGCUUCCCUCAUGUUGGAAAGGUGCAACUGCAUUAUAUUAGUUUAAUAUUGUAGUUAUUGUGCUUUCAAAUACUAUUUUAUUUUUUAGGAACCCGGAAGAUUCCUUAAAUUAGGGGAGCCUAUAGGAGAGGACCCCAAUGGAGUCAUUUAUGUUGUAAGAUAUUUUACUCAGUGUUAAAAUUGUGUAUUUUGUCUCAUGCUUUUGGGUGACUCUGUAAUGUUGCCUAUUGCUUGUACCCUCUAGCGUUGUCCUUAUAUUUGUGUUUUUCUUGUGGUUCUAAAGCUGCCAAUAAACCUUCCCAUUACCACACACUAUAUCUGUUUGCUUUCCCAUACUGUUCCAUUAGUAAUGAUCACAGAGCUUCUUUCCCUACUUUUUGUUACAGGCAUGGCUCCGCAGCCAAAGAAAGGAGGUGGCCGUUACCAUCAUUCAGGACGUGGAGGUAAUGUGUCCUUAUAUGAUUACUCUAAAUAGAUACUAAUUAGCCUUUUGUUAUACCAACAUUAUGGCUAUCAUUAGAAGAACUUUCUAACCAGCUAUCAGCAUGUUCCCAUUUUGGCACCAAUCAAUGAAAUACCCCGACCCCUAAUAACUAUGUAAAUGUAAAAAUAAGUAGCAAAUACCGAUUGAAUACUUUAUGGGAUAUAGGAAAUAAAAUAACAGGGAGAGUCAGUCAUAUUGGGCAAUUCUCAUGUAGUGAGUAUUACAGGGCUGUCAUUCUUCACAACUAUAAGUUAGUUUGGGGUAUCUGAAAUGGUAAAUGUGUCCAUUUAAUUUACUUUGUUUCUUUUGCUUGAAACUAGAAGCAGAAAAAGAUCCUCAAUGAAAUCGAGGUACAUCAGAAGAUCUCGGGCCACAGAAACAUCAGCGAUUUUUAUGGGGCAUUUUAUGUUACCUCUGUGAGACCAUCACCAUACGAAGGACUGUGGGUAAGUACAGAUUUAUUCAGAUAGGUUACACAUUUAUGCACCUAAUAUAUUUAUUAUAAACAAGGGUCCAGCACAUGUGACCACUUCUCAGUAGCACCUGAUGCUGCAGUCACACCCAGAAUGUUUGUGUUGCCUAUAUCUCACUUACAGCCACAUAUAAAAUAGUAGGACAGACCUACGCAAAUCUAUGUGCCAAAAAUUCUUUAUUUGUGUUGUAGGUUUCUACUGAGAUUUGUACUGGUGAAACAGUGCAGUCUCUCAUUAACACCAGGAAAUCCAUUGGUCCUGGAUGGAUCUCCUACAUCUGUAAGGAGAUACUAAAGGGCCUGUGUCAUCUGGAAAGGCAAGAGGUAAUCCUCCAUGAUCUCAGCUUGAAGAAUAUUGUCAUCACUUCAAGCGCAGACGUGAAAAUCUGUAAGUGAUGCUUAGAAUCUGAAAAAAAUGGACGUUUUUUUCUUCAUGUUGUUUAUUGUUGGGAUUGUAUUUAUAUAUGAACAUUAACAUUCCUGCUUUUGCCAUACAAUUUCAGGUGAGUUUACCUUUGCCACGCUGGGAGGAAGAAGCAGUAGCACAUCUGGCCCUUUACCAUACAUGGCGCCAGAAGUGCUCGCUAAUUUCGGAGACACCAGCGUUCCGUACGAUUGUAAGGUAUUGUGAUGUCUUCUCUCUUGCUUUUUAUUUUAGAGUUAAUGUCACCUUUAUAUAAAAUGUAUGUAGCUUACACAAGAGGAACUGCAUGGAAUGUUCUGCUCACUCACUUACAUGCCCCUCUCAUAACAGCAAAUCCAAAGCUGUAAUGUGGUUCUCAUGAUAUGAGAGGGAAAUCUGAAGUAAGAGAGUGAAAUGCAUUUAAAGUGCAGGGAAUAAGAAUAUAAGACACUAAGUCCCUUCAUCUUCUUACACUUUAUGGGGGUUUUUAACUCCAUGUAACACACACGACUCUCAGAUUUAUUAUCAUGUGCCCCUGUGUAUAUUCUUCUCUAAUACUUGUCUUUUCCUCUUAAUUUAAUAUCCAGGCCGACAUCUGGUCUCUGGGGAUUGCGGCCAUCUAUAUGGCUGAAGGGCAUCUCCGUAAGUAAACCCUAGUGUGUGUAUUAUACUGCGUAACUGUUAGUAGAAGGGUCAGAGGGCCUGUAUGUGUUAUGUUGUAACAUGAAAUAUUAUUAAAUAUAAAUAACUAAGGGUCUGAUUUACUAAAAUUUUAAUUUGCAUUAUUUCCACAAAAUAUAUACACAAUCGUUAGAGGCAUAAAAACCUUGAAUUUGAUUUUUUGAGCUCAAAAAUGUCCCAAUUUAGAGAAUCUAAAAAACAAUAAUGAAAAAAUUAGCUAAAAACUGGCGAGCUCCUGUGUAAGUCAUUGAGUGGCGUAAUUUCCAUUGUCAUGUUAUUUGAAAUGCCCGAAAAAUCGAGAUUUUAAUAAUUAUUUUCUGAUUCCUUUAAAACACAAGGAAAAAAACCACAAUUGAGUUUUAUCAGGAUUCAAAACUGCUUGAAAAUUUAAAUGAAAGUAAAUCACCCUCCAUAAGUUGUAUUUGUCAAUCAUCAUAUUCUCAUGCUGUGUUUUCUUCUAACGUAGCAUUCUGCAAACUUCCCAGAGCAAAACUGAUCAGGCGCGUCAUUCACGGUCCCGCGCCAACAUCAUCACGGGACAAAUGGAGUAACAACUUCCAUUCCUUUGUGAGUGAGUGCCUGCAGAAGAGUGCGGAGAGACGGCCAACUGCGAGGCAGCUUCUUGCGCACCCCUUCAUCUCAGAGCUCUGGGAUGAAAGGGGUGUAAAGAGGAGCCUCAUGAGACAUCUGCAGUGAGGUAGGGGAACCCCUCAUUCUCAUUAUAGUUCCCUUGAUGUAUAGACUAUAACCAACUACUGCUAUUAUUUAUAUAAUAUUCUCUGGCUUUCCCACAUACACAAUCAUUCUGUAACUAAAGCCGCCAGUAAUAAAGGCUUAGAUUGUAUUAGGGCAGAGGUAACUAAACUAAGCCAAAUCUAGGGGACAUUCAAACAAGCUGUGAUGGGAGAACAUGUUAUUAUUAAAUAGUUGUAGUUGGCCUUUAAAUUAGCAUGUAAUAGAGCAUGAAAUGGCAACAAUUGUAAAUGCAAAUAAUAAAAAUGAACAAAUUGCAGAAUUAUUACAAACAGCUACUCCAUGGCUAACACUGAGCAAUCUUUCCUUAGGCCUGACUCCACGAAGCCAUAAAACAACUUGGCUGCCAAUGGGGGAGGGACAGGGGCACAUACAGGGGUCCUAAAUACCAUCUUUGGACCCCUGCAUAACAUCUUGGUCCCGUUGGCAGCCCUUUGUGUUGGCUUCUUCAUGAACAACUGCAUCUUCUGACAAAUGCAUCUGAGAAACAGCGGCUCUAGAAGAUCGACGUAAGUAUGGCAUUUAUUGUCAUGUUUUAUUCUUUGUUUAUUCUUUGUACAUUUUCAAAGAGGAAUGUAUUGAUUGCAUAAAUGCUUUGCUUAUUGUAUAUUAAUCUUUCCUUAGGCCUGACUCCACGAAGCCAUGAAACAACUUGGCUGCCAACGGGGGAGGGACGGGGGCACAUACAGGGGUCCUAAAUACCAUCUUUGGACCCCUGCAUAACAUCUUGGUCCCGUUGGCAGCCCUUUGUGUUGGCUUCUUGAUGAACAACUGCAUCUUCUGACAAAUGCAUCUGAGAAACAGCGGCUCUAGAAGAUCGACGUAAGUAUGGCAUUUAUUGUCAUGUUUUAUUCUUUGUUUACAUUUUCAAAGAAGAAUGUAUUUAUGGCAUAAAUGCUUUGCUUAUUGUAUAUUAAUCUUUCCUUAGGCCUGAAUCCACGAAUCCAUAAAACAACUUGGCUGCCAACGGGGGAGGGACGGGGGCACAUACAGGGGUCCUAAAUACCAUCUUUGGACCCCUGCAUAACAUCUUGGUCCCGUUGGCAGCCCUUUGUG